GUGGGGAAUCUUAGACAAUGGGGGCAACCCUGAUCUAGCCAUGUCGCGUGAGUGAUGAAGGCCUUAGGGUCGUAAAGCUCUUUCGCUGGGGAAGAUAAUGACGGUACCCAGUAAAGAAACCCCGGCUAACUCCGUGCCAGCAGCCGCGGUAAUACGGAGGGGGUUAGCGUUGUUCGGAAUUACUGGGCGUAAAGCGCGCGUAGGCGGAUUGGAAAGUUGGGGGUGAAAUCCCGGGGCUCAACCCUGGAAUGGCCUUCAAAACUCCCAGUCUUGAGGUCGAGAGAGGUGAGUGGAAUUCCGAGUGUAGAGGUGAAAUUCGUAGAUAUUCGGAGGAACACCAGUGGCGAAGGCGGCUCACUGGCUCGAUACUGACGCUGAGGUGCGAAAGCGUGGGGAGCAAACAGGAUUAGAUACCCUUGUAGUCC
Molecule: ribosomal RNA, 425 nt
Filed under: uncultured bacterium
Lineage: Bacteria
Description: partial 16S ribosomal RNA
Rfam family: Bacterial small subunit ribosomal RNA
Source: RNAcentral